This 545-nucleotide ribosomal RNA is filed under the name Plesiobatis daviesi. RNAcentral describes it as "partial 16S ribosomal RNA". It matches the Rfam family "Bacterial large subunit ribosomal RNA", at positions 1934 to 2617 of the family's 2925-position model. The record is from RNAcentral. Lineage: Eukaryota; Metazoa; Chordata; Chondrichthyes; Myliobatiformes; Plesiobatidae.
CGGUAUUCUGACCGUGCGAAGGUAGCGUAAUCACUUGUCUUUUAAUUGAAGACCCGUAUGAAAGGCAUCACGAGAGUUUAUCUGUCUCUAUUUUCCAAUCAAUGAAAUUGAACCUCUCGUGCAGAAGCGAGAAUAAAAACAUAAGACGAGAAGACCCUAUGGAGCUUCAAACACUUAAGUUACUUUUAAAACAUAAAAUUCCUACCUUCGGGUAUAAACUAAAAACUAAUUUCUUAACUUAACCUGUUUUUGGUUGGGGCGACCAGGGGGAAAAACAAAACCCCCUUAUCGAAUGUGUUAAACACAAAAAUUAGGACUACAAUCCUAAUCAAUAGAAAAUCUAACGAACAAUGACCCAGGGCCCGAUCCCUGAUCAAUGAACCAAGUUACCCUAGGGAUAACAGCGCAAUCCUUUCUUAGAGCCCCCAUCGCCGAAAGGGGUUUACGACCUCGAUGUUGGAUCAGGACAUCCUAAUGGUGUAGCCGCUAUUAAGGGGCUCGUUUGUUCAACGAUUAAACAGUCCUACGUGAUCUGAGUUCAGACC